UGGGAUAUAACUCAGUGGUAGAGUGCUUGCUUUGCAUGCAAGAAGCCUCGGGGUUCCGAUCCCCGAUAUCUCCA
Molecule: transfer RNA, 74 nt
Filed under: Neocallimastix californiae
Lineage: Eukaryota; Fungi; Neocallimastigomycota; Neocallimastigomycetes; Neocallimastigales; Neocallimastigaceae
Rfam family: tRNA
About the family: Transfer RNA (tRNA) molecules are approximately 80 nucleotides in length. Their secondary structure includes four short double-helical elements and three loops (D, anti-codon, and T loops).
Source: Rfam by way of RNAcentral